Long non-coding RNA from Exaiptasia diaphana, 1087 nucleotides. RefSeq lists it as uncharacterized. NCBI's taxonomy places the organism in Eukaryota, Metazoa, Cnidaria, Anthozoa, Actiniaria, Aiptasiidae. The record is from RefSeq and is a predicted model, not a curated record. The transcript is spliced from 2 exons.
GUCCAGAUAAUGUUCCCUUUAUACCUCUUCUUGUUUAGAUCUGUCUAUGGUGUCAUAUGAAUGCGAACCUCCCGAGACAGCGUUUGAGAAAGAAAGACAUAAAUCAAUCAAAGCAUCAGUCGGAAAGAGAUGACAGCCGAUCACGUGUUUCCACUUCACACAAUUAACGAAAUACAUUGCCAAUAUCAUCAGUUUUCUCAGUGCAAAUGCAGUCAGAGAGAUUCCCUCUGUUGGUCGUGUCUACCAUGGUUGCGCAAUGAAAUUGUCAACCAAGUAUUAGUUGGGCACAGCGAAAUAAAGGAAAAGUCGAGAGAUACCUUUCAAGUGCUAAUCGAGGAAAACCUUUCAAGUGCUCCGUGAGGGAAGCCUUUCAAGUGCUACAGAAGGAAAACCUUUUAAGUGCUCCGUUAGGGAAACCUUUCAAGUGUCUUUUGAAGAAACCUUUCAAGUGUUUCGCAACCUUGAUUUUGUCAGCUUCGUUUGAUUUCAAUCAAAUCAACAAAGAGAUAACUCAAUUAACCUCAAUUACGUGACGAUGAAACGUUCUCUAACUAUAUCUGCAGCCAUCGAAUUUCAGUUAGACAAUUGACGCAGUCGUAAUUAGUGUUUAUUUAUUAUUAUUUAUGUAUAUUUAAAGAACUCAAGCUGAUUAUUGUCUCACGUUACGUUUACCGAUACCCAGGAUGUUUUAGAAACUGCAUAUUUAUUUUCACGUUUACACGAAAACGCGUAGUCGUACCACAGGUAACCCAACCAUACCCUCCGCCGKGCAACUGUUUUUACUCUGUCGGGCUUCUUUUGUAAUGGUGACGGUUAUGGACUGGUGGCGCGGCGUGGCGCUCUUCCUUUCUCGCUCCAAUUCCCCAUCUUCAAGCUGCCAGACCGUAAGCCCUUGACUCUUAGUGAUGACUAAAACUAGUGAACUAAAAACUAGAGCCUUAAACCGAUGUUACUUACGCAACUGAUAAUAAUUAUAAUAAACAGUCUACAAGUGGCUUUCCGUAGAUUCCGCAGAAAAUCAGGUAAAAUCUUAACUAAUUUAUACUACAAUACGAUAUAGAUAGUAAAAAUACUAUUUAACAAAUUA